Molecule: ribosomal RNA, 459 nt
Filed under: uncultured bacterium
Lineage: Bacteria
Description: partial 16S ribosomal RNA
Rfam family: Bacterial small subunit ribosomal RNA
Source: RNAcentral
CUACGGGAUGCAGCAGUAAGGAAUAUUGCGCAAUGGAGGCAACUCUGACGCAGCCAUGCCGCGUGCAGGAAGAAGGCCUUAUGGGUCGUAAACUGCUUUUAUUUAGGAAUAAACCCUCGCUCGUGAGCGAGGCUGAAGGUACUGAAUGAAUAAGCACCGGCUAACUCCGUGCCAGCGGCCGCGGUAAUACGGAGGGUGCAAGCGUUAUCCGGAUUUAUUGGGUUUAAAGGGUGCGCAGGCGGGCUAUUAAGUCAGUGGUGAAAUCCCGGGGCUCAACUCCGGAACUGCCAUUGAUACUGAUAGUCUUGAGUUUGGUUGAAGUGGGCGGAAUGUAGCAUGUAGCGGUGAAAUGCAUAGAUAUGCUACAGAACACCAAUCGCGAAGGCAGCUCACUAAGCCAAAACUGACGCUCAUGCACGAAAGCGUGGGGAUCAAACAGGAUUAGAUACCCUCGUAGUC